This is a long non-coding RNA of Hyla sarda, 599 nucleotides long. RefSeq lists it as uncharacterized. The record is from RefSeq and is a predicted model, not a curated record. Lineage: Eukaryota; Metazoa; Chordata; Amphibia; Anura; Hylidae. The transcript has 3 exons.
CCAGGACCAUGAUGGACAGGCUAAAGUCCAGUAGGUUUCUUUGACCUCGAAGAUGAAGGUUUGUUAUCCUCCUAGAAGAAGUCAAACCUAUUAAGGAGAACAAUAUGCUGCCAUACAGUAAGCAUAAUGGCCAUACAGGAACCAAAUGACAAUACCGCCAAGAUCAAUGCAGUCAGAAAGAGAUUACGUCUGUCACAUGAAUCAAGUUCAACAUGUGUAAAUUUGACAUAUUGUACAUCAGACGGGCUUAUUCAGCACUGCCAGUAUUGGAACAGCAGCCAAGCAGACAACACAGUGGAAGGGCAAUGGACUCAGGGUUGAUCAGUUGGCAGAAUGUGGGUUCCCAGCCUCCCAGCUGUCUUUUUGACCAAUAGGGGGCGUUCAGAGAAUCCACAUUGAGUCACAGGGGGAUCAGGCUGCCUACAUUAUGCCAAGUGAAUGCCCAGCUGUGUGCCCUACUAUCCCUUCCCUUUUAUUACACAUUCAACAGUACUGCCGUAGAAGUCCUUUCGAUUCAACAUACAAGAAAUGCCAUCAUUUUGCAUUGUAAAUGUUUUCAAUAUUAAAAUACAUAUUUAAAAAAAAAAACUAUUUUUCCA